Long non-coding RNA from Perca flavescens (yellow perch), 258 nucleotides. RefSeq lists it as uncharacterized. The record is from RefSeq and is a predicted model, not a curated record. The transcript is spliced from 3 exons. Lineage: Eukaryota; Metazoa; Chordata; Actinopteri; Perciformes; Percidae.
UGGCUUCAGCUCAGCCAUACAUGUUCGAACCAGAGUCUGAUCCCGAAACAGAACCCGAACCAGCUUCACAACUUAGACUGGAGCAAGAUGUUUCAGAGUGGUGUACUUGUGGAAAUUGCUCGACCAUGUCCACUGAAGUUGAAAACAUCUGUUGCCAAGAAAUACAAAUGGUUGUUACACAAAUGCAACAGGUUCCUGUCCCACCUACCUGCAUGGUUUACCAUCCAGACUUGGAGCCAACCUGUUUGAACCACUACA